This 894-nucleotide long non-coding RNA is filed under the name Cavia porcellus (domestic guinea pig). Its description in RNAcentral is "lncRNA (ENSCPOG00000036283.1)". Lineage: Eukaryota; Metazoa; Chordata; Mammalia; Rodentia; Caviidae. The record is from RNAcentral.
GAUUACCUUAAAAAUGAUUUGAGACAUUUUUCUUCUUUUAUUUUUUAGAUAAAUUUUUGGAAUGUGGAGAAUCAGUCUACAGAGCAAAAUACACAGUAAAAAGAGCGAGAAGGACCCCUGGCCCACACUCUUCUGGGCUGGCCAUGCUGGGCAGCAUCCACUGGAAGGCUAUGUGCAGCCACAAACACCUCACUGAAGCAGCUCAGGAGGCCUCCUCACCCACACGCCUGGUGUCUGCACCUUUGAGUCGGGACUUUGGGCCUUCACAGAGCAGAAGCCUUCAGAAAUACUAUAGUCCCUGGAGGUUGAUCUGGAGGGAAGGCCCAGCCUUGGCAGUCCUGUCUGCCACAAUCAGUUAGCCAAGAAAAAUCACUAAGAUCAGACACCAAGGAGACCAGCUCAAGGAGAGGAAAAUUGAAUUGCUUUUCAUAGAGUGAGAUGUGUUAGAGAUUUGUAGCCAUCUGCAAUCAGUCACAAGAAGUAUGCAAAAGUACAAUUGAAUAAGUUCCUUGCCUGGAGUAAAGAAUUUCAACUUAAUGCUUUCAGUAAUGGGCUUUUUAUGUAAAAUGGACAAAAAGAACUUUUGGCCCUGUAGGAAGCUGAAGUCUUCAUGCAGUGAAGCUGCUAGAGGGCCUGGCUGUUGGAAGGCUUGCUGACUAGAUGGCUUCUUUGCAGGAACCAUGUCUGUUGAAGAUCACAAGUGUGCAGGUUCUCACAAUCAGACAGAGCACCUUUGCAUCCAUCUCAGGCUGGUUUGCCAUGAUGGAACAGAAAAGAUCAUUCUACUGCCAGCCUAAUCCCGAUACCUCCCAGGCUGUGGAUGUUUUUAUCCACAAAGUAAAAUUAAUGGAAUGAUUUGAAGUGUGCACACACUGAUGAUUUCCUCACAAACAC